ACGAACGCUGGCGGCGUGCUUAACCCCUGCAAGUCGCACGGAAAGGCCCUGCUUGCAGGGUACUCGAGUGGCGAACGGGUGAGUAACACGUGGGUGAUCUGCCCUGCACUUCGGGAUAAGCCUGGGAAACUGGGUCUAAUACCGGAUAGGAGCCAUUUUUAGUGUGAUGGUUGGAAAGUUUUUUCGGUGUAGGAUGAGCUCGCGGCCUAUCAGCUUGUUGGGGGGGUAAUGGCCUACCAAGGCGGCGACGGGUAGCCGGCCUGAGAGGGUGGACGGCCACAUUGGGACUGAGAUACGGCCCAGACUCCUACGGGAGGCAGCAGUGGGGAAUAUUGCACAAUGGGCGCAAGCCUGAUGCAGCGACGCCGCGUGGGGGAUGACGGCCUUCGGGUUGUAAACUCCUUUCGCUAGGGACGAAGCUUUUUGUGACGGUACCUAGAUAAGAAGCACCGGCUAACUACGUG
This 464-nucleotide ribosomal RNA is filed under the name uncultured bacterium. RNAcentral's name for it is "partial 16S ribosomal RNA". It matches the Rfam family "Bacterial small subunit ribosomal RNA", at positions 29 to 507 of the family's 1533-position model. The record is from RNAcentral.